This 399-nucleotide ribosomal RNA is filed under the name uncultured bacterium. RNAcentral's name for it is "bacterial SSU rRNA". It matches the Rfam family "Bacterial small subunit ribosomal RNA", at positions 358 to 773 of the family's 1533-position model. The record is from RNAcentral.
GGAAUAUUGCACAAUGGGGGAAACCCUGAUGCAGCAACGCCGCGUGAGUGAAGAAGUAUUUCGGUACGUAAAGCUCUAUCAGCAGGGAAGAAGAAGGACGGUACCUGAGUAAGAAGCCGCGGCUAACUACGUGCCAGCAGCCGCGGUAAUACGUAGGGGGCAAGCGUUAUCCGGAUUUACUGGGUGUAAAGGGAGCGUAGACGGCAGCGCAAGUCUGGAGUGAAAUGCCGGGGCCCAACCCCGGAACUGCUUUGGAAACUGUGCGGCUCGAGUGCGGGAGAGGUAGGCGGAAUUCCUAGUGUAGCGGUGAAAUGCGUAGAUAUUAGGAGGAACACCAGUGGCGAAGGCGGCUUACUGGACCGUAACUGACGUUGAGGCUCGAAAGCGUGGGGAGCAAAC